UCGAACGGAGAUCUUGAAUAGCUUGCUAAUUGAGAUCUUAGUGGCGGACGGGUUAGUAACACGUGAGAACCUACCCUUUAGACAGGAAUAGCCCAUGGAAACGUGGAUUAAUGCCUGAUAGUCUCUACGGAGUAAAUGGUGCCUUCUGGUAUCGCUAGAGGAUGGGCUCGCGGCCUAUCAGCUUGUUGGUGAGGUAAAGGCUCACCAAGGCGACGACGGGUAGCUGGUCUGAGAGGACGAUCAGCAACACUGGAACUGAGACACGGUCCAGACACCUACGGGUGGCGGCAGUCGAGAAUCAUUCACAAUGGAGGCAACUCUGAUGGUGCAACGCCGCGUGGAGGAUGACGGUCCUAGGAUUGUAAACUCCUGUCAUUGGGGAGUAAGACUUAAGCGUUAAGAGCGUUUAAGUUUGAUAGUACCCAAAGAGGAAGGGACGGCUAACUUCGUGCCAGCAGCCGCGGUAAUACGAAGGUCCCAAGCGUUGUUCGGAAUCACUGGGCGUAAAGCGUGUGUAGGCUGCGCGGAAAGUCAAAUGUGAAAGCCCGGGGCUCAACCUCGGAACUGCAUUCGAUACUCCCGUGCUAGAGUAAUGGAGAGGUAAGUGGAAUUCCUGGUGUAGCAGUGAAAUGCGUGGAUAUCAGGAGGAACAUCAAUGGCGAAGGCAACUUACUGGACAUUUACUGACGCUCAGACACGAAGGCUAGGGUAGCGAAAGGGAUUAGAU
This 727-nucleotide ribosomal RNA is filed under the name uncultured bacterium. RNAcentral describes it as "bacterial SSU rRNA". It matches the Rfam family "Bacterial small subunit ribosomal RNA", at positions 62 to 783 of the family's 1533-position model. The record is from RNAcentral.